This 1211-nucleotide ribosomal RNA is filed under the name Vibrio lentus. RNAcentral's name for it is "bacterial SSU rRNA". It matches the Rfam family "Bacterial small subunit ribosomal RNA", at positions 298 to 1533 of the family's 1533-position model. The record is from RNAcentral. Lineage: Bacteria; Pseudomonadati; Pseudomonadota; Gammaproteobacteria; Vibrionales; Vibrionaceae.
GAUUGWUCMRGCACACCCUGAAGCUGAACCGGUCCAGAACCUACGAGCAGCAUGGAAUAUGCCAUGCGAAGCCUGAUGCAGCAUGCGCGGKUAUGAAGAGGCUUCGGUUGCAAGUACUUCAGUGUGAGGAAGGGUGKGUAGUAUAGCUGCGCAUCUGACGUUAGCACAGAGAGCACCGGCUAACUCCGUGCCAGCAGCCGCGGUAAUACGGAGGGGUGCGAGGCGUUAAUCGGAAUUACUGGGCGUAAAGCGCAUGCAGGUGGUUCAUUAAGUCAGAUGUGAAAGCCCGGGGCUCAACCUCGGAACUGCAUUUGAAACUGGUGAACUAGAGUGCUGUAGAGGGGGGUAGAAUUUCAGGUGUAGCGGUGAAAUGCGUAGAGAUCUGAAGGAAUACCAGUGGCGAAGGCGGCCCCCUGGACAGACACUGACACUCAGAUGCGAAAGCGUGGGGAGCAAACAGGAUUAGAUACCCUGGUAGUCCACGCCGUAAACGAUGUCUACUUGGAGGUUGUGGCCUUGAGCCGUGGCUUUCGGAGCUAACGCGUUAAGUAGACCGCCUGGGGAGUACGGUCGCAAGAUUAAAACUCAAAUGAAUUGACGGGGGCCCGCACAAGCGGUGGAGCAUGUGGUUUAAUUCGAUGCAACGCGAAGAACCUUACCUACUCUUGACAUCCAGAGAAGCCAGCGGAGACGCAGGUGUGCCUUCGGGAACUCUGAGACAGGUGCUGCAUGGCUGUCGUCAGCUCGUGUUGUGAAAUGUUGGGUUAAGUCCCGCAACGAGCGCAACCCUUAUCCUUGUUUGCCAGCGAGUAAUGUCGGGAACUCCAGGGAGACUGCCGGUGAUAAACCGGAGGAAGGUGGGGACGACGUCAAGUCAUCAUGGCCCUUACGAGUAGGGCUACACACGUGCUACAAUGGCGCAUACAGAGGGCAGCAAGCUAGCGAUAGUGAGCGAAUCCCAAAAAGUGCGUCGUAGUCCGGAUUGGAGUCUGCAACUCGACUCCAUGAAGUCGGAAUCGCUAGUAAUCGUGAAUCAGAAUGUCACGGUGAAUACGUUCCCGGGCCUUGUACACACCGCCCGUCACACCAUGGGAGUGGGCUGCAAAAGAAGUGGGUAGUUUAACCUUUCGAGGAGGACGCUCACCACUUUGUGGUUCAUGACUGGGGUGAAGUCGUAACAAGGUAACCAAAGGGCGAAUCGCGCCGCYWUU